This 73-nucleotide transfer RNA is filed under the name Omnitrophica WOR_2 bacterium RIFCSPHIGHO2_01_FULL_48_9. RNAcentral describes it as "tRNA-Arg". It matches the Rfam family "tRNA". Rfam says of the family: Transfer RNA (tRNA) molecules are approximately 80 nucleotides in length. Their secondary structure includes four short double-helical elements and three loops (D, anti-codon, and T loops). Further hydrogen bonds mediate the characteristic L-shaped molecular structure. tRNAs have two regions of fundamental functional importance: the anti-codon, which is responsible for specific mRNA codon recognition, and the 3' end, to which the tRNAs corresponding amino acid is attached (by aminoacyl-tRNA synthetases). tRNAs cope with the degeneracy of the genetic code in two manners: having more than one tRNA (with a specific anti-codon) for a particular amino acid; and 'wobble' base-pairing, i.e. permitting non-standard base-pairing at the 3rd anti-codon position. Lineage: Bacteria; Pseudomonadati; Candidatus Omnitrophota. The record is from RNAcentral. RNAcentral also lists the same sequence under 2 other names.
GCGCCCAUAGCUCAAUGGAUAGAGCAUUUGGCUUCGGACCAAAGGGUUGGGGGUUCGACUCCCUCUGGGCGCG